CAGGGAAGGAGCUAUGAGCCAGAAAUCACAGACAGAAGCCAAAAUGUGCGUAUCCCACUACCCAGCCUUCUGCUGGUGGAUCAGUGGGCAGCCUUUAACAAGAGGCUGUCUCUGUUAGGUGCAUGAUCCGAAGUCAGCUCUCUUGUGAGGCCAGGGAGCAGCUCCCCCAGACUCUUCCCUCCUACAUCCACCUGCCCUUCAGUUUAUGGUGAAAUCUUAGUUUCCCAGGCCCUGUGUAGGUCAGUGGCACCGCGCCUCCCUUGCAAGCACAAGGUCCUGAAUUCGAUCCCUGGUACCAAAGGAAAAAAAAUCCACCUCCUUCAAAGUGCUCUCCUGACUUGGAGCAUCCUGAUCCUACCGUCCUUGCCACUGCUGAAGUCCCCUUUGGUGUGUGGCGAAUGCUGCUGCUGAGCGCCAUCCGGCGGAAAGGCAGCCCACCCACCUUACAGCACCUGGCACUGUGUGGCUUCUGGCUCUUCCCCAACAUCAGAAUAACCACGAAAGGCGAUCCUCUCCAGGACCCACCCUUGGAAGCCUGAAUCCAUCAGUGUGAGCGUGCCACGAGUGACUCCAUUCUGCUCAAGACAAUUUCCCCACUGUGAAUCAACUGCGCUGCGUCCUGAGAGCCUAGAGAAGCAGCGUGCGGGGCAAGGCUGUAAGGAAUCCACCGAGUGCUGCUGCGCUGUGGGUGUCAUGCUGCAGAAAGGUGCUUGCUUAGCGUGUGAUCUCCAGCACUGCAAUAAAUAAGUAAACAAACAUCGAAACAUUUUUUAAAAAGGAAUUUGUUUAGUGAAUGAAAGCUCUGGUCCGGGCUGGUCUGCAGCAAGUGUCCAUGCAAAACUGGAUGAUGUGCCCUGGGAGCUCACCCGCUACGGGCUAAAGUAUUUAAUACAAUAUUUAAAAAUUCUGCACUGAUGCCCAGAACUCCAUGAAAACCCCAUCUCAUGAUGUCAAAUCGACAUGGGCUCUGAGCCUGCCCUAGUCCUGGCAAUGAGUACUAAGCACAGUCCAUGUUGCAUGGAGGCACUGCCAUCCUGAGAUGGACAGGAG
This 1050-nucleotide long non-coding RNA is filed under the name Heterocephalus glaber (naked mole-rat). Its description in RNAcentral is "lncRNA (ENSHGLG00100040258.1)". The record is from RNAcentral. Lineage: Eukaryota; Metazoa; Chordata; Mammalia; Rodentia; Bathyergidae.